AUUGUACCGGUCAAUUUAAACAAUUAAUGGAUUAAUAAAGAAUAUAAAUAAUGACAGUACGAGUGUCAUUGGAACUUAAACAUAGUGAAUCAUUUAACCUCUGCGCGAAAGUUGUUAAAUGUAAUCGUUUACACUGUCAUUGUAAACGAUUACGGUAAUGAAAGUUCAUUUUUGGACACAGAUUUCGUCUGCAGGAACCACUAGUCAUAACGUAGGGGACCCUAUUGUACACAUGAACCAGUUUGGGAAUAUUGCAUUAAGAAAAACAAACAUUGGUUUCAUUGAUACAUUCUUCACCACAACUUUCAUUCACAAUAACAAAGGUCUGAGAACGAGAAUGAUGGUCCGAGAACGAGAAUGCUCCGACGACGAUAACGACACGAAAGAGGUUUCACCACACACCCACAACGACAAUGAUGGUCCGAGAACGAGAACAACCUUUCACAAUGACGACGCCUGAGAAAAACCCAAACCACUAAAGUGAUGGUCCGAGAACGAGAAUGCUCCGACGACGAUAACGACACGAAAGAGGUUUCGCCAGACACCCACAACGACAAUGAUGGUCCGAGAACGAGAACAACCUUUCACAAUGACAACGCCUGAGAAAACUUGGAGAAGGAGGCCGGCGAAGAGACGUAGGGAGAUGAGAGAACCGUCAGAGAGCACGAAAAUGAAAAAUGAAAGAGAGCGCCAAAACUAAAACCCCACACUCGACAUUCCAUCUUUGCCCCUCACUUAUUCCAUCUUUGCCCCUCAGCAUAUUAAACAAUGUCAUUUUUCAAAAAUAAAAAACCACCCAAUCAGACAACGACACCUGUCCAAUGUCAAAAGAGUGUCAAAAUUGGGUGUUAAAGUAACAUUUUCCUUCUAGUUUACAUGUCACAUGGUAAACACUGUGAUCAUUAUUAUGGCAUAAUAUUAACAACACUGUGAUCACAUGAUAAACAUUUAUAUAUUAUCUUUGUGUUAACUGGUGUUUCGAUGUCCAAAUCGAUCGAUGAUAUUAUAUAUUAUUAAUAGUCAUACGAGAUUUAUUUAGAAAUAUAGAG
Molecule: long non-coding RNA, 1049 nt
Filed under: Vigna radiata
Lineage: Eukaryota; Viridiplantae; Streptophyta; Magnoliopsida; Fabales; Fabaceae
Description: long non-coding RNA (VRAD_LNC007586)
Source: RNAcentral